Molecule: ribosomal RNA, 393 nt
Filed under: uncultured bacterium
Lineage: Bacteria
Description: partial 16S ribosomal RNA
Rfam family: Bacterial small subunit ribosomal RNA
Source: RNAcentral
AUACGGAGGAUCCGAGCGUUAUCCGGAUUUAUUGGGCUUAAAGGGAGCGUAGGUGGAUUGUUAAGUCAGUUGUAAAAGUUUGCGGCUCAACCGUAAAAUUGCAGUUGAAACUGGCAGUCUUGAGUACAGUAGAGGUGGGCGGAAUUCGUGGUGUAGCGGUGAAAUGCUUAGAUAUCACGAAGAACUCCGAUUUCGAAGGCAGCUCACUAGACUGUUACUGACACUGAUGCUCGAAAGUGUGGGUAUCAAACAGGAUUAGAUACCCUGGUAGUCCACACAGUAAACGAUGAAUACUCGCUGUUUGCGAUAUACAGUAAGCGGCCAAGCGAAAGCAUUAAGUAUUCCACCUGGGGAGUACGCCGGCAACGGUGAAACUCAAAUGAAUUGACGGGG